GAUGAACGCUGGCGGCGUGCCUAAUACAUGCAAGUCGAGCGAACGGACGAGAAGCUUGCUUCUCUGAUGUUAGCGGCGGACGGGUGAGUAACACGUGGAUAACCUACCUAUAAGACUGGGAUAACUUCGGGAAACCGGAGCUAAUACCGGAUAAUAUUUUGAACCGCAUGGUUCAAAAGUGAAAGACGGUCUUGCUGUCACUUAUAGAUGGAUCCGCGCUGCAUUAGCUAGUUGGUAAGGUAACGGCUUACCAAGGCAACGAUGCAUAGCCGACCUGAGAGGGUGAUCGGCCACACUGGAACUGAGACACGGCCCAGAGUCCUACGGGAGGCAGCAGUAGGGAAUCUUCCGCAAUGGGCGAAAGCCUGACGGAGCAACGCCGCGUGAGUGAUGAAGGUCUUCGGAUCGUAAAACUCUGUUAUUAGGGAAGAACAUAUGUGUAAGUAACUGUGCACAUCUUGACGGUACCUAAUCAGAAAGCCACGGCUAACUACGUG
This 497-nucleotide ribosomal RNA is filed under the name uncultured bacterium. Its description in RNAcentral is "partial 16S ribosomal RNA". It matches the Rfam family "Bacterial small subunit ribosomal RNA", at positions 28 to 507 of the family's 1533-position model. The record is from RNAcentral.